GACAGAGGAUGCAAGCGUUAUCCGGAAUGAUUGGGCGUAAAGCGUCUGUAGGUGGCUUUUUAAGUCCGCCGUCAAAUCCCAGGGCUCAACCCUGGACAGGCGGUGGAAACUACCAAGCUGGAGUACGGUAGGGGCAGGAGGGAAUUUCCGGUGGAGCGUGAAAUGCGUAGAGGAUCGGAAAGAACACCAACGGCGAAAGCACUCUGCUGGGCCGACACUGACACCGAGAGACGAAAGCUAGGGGAGCGAAUGGGAUUAGAACUACGUAGUCAGAUCCAAGAUCCAGUCUGUCACCG
RNAcentral lists this ribosomal RNA (296 nucleotides) under uncultured bacterium. RNAcentral describes it as "partial 16S ribosomal RNA". It matches the Rfam family "Bacterial small subunit ribosomal RNA", at positions 524 to 820 of the family's 1533-position model. The record is from RNAcentral.